RNAcentral lists this ribosomal RNA (429 nucleotides) under Chloroflexota bacterium. RNAcentral describes it as "Chloroflexi bacterium partial 16S ribosomal RNA". It matches the Rfam family "Bacterial small subunit ribosomal RNA", at positions 355 to 776 of the family's 1533-position model. Lineage: Bacteria; Bacillati; Chloroflexota. The record is from RNAcentral.
UGGGGAAUAUUGCACAAUGGGCGCAAGCCUGAUGCAGCCAUGCCGCGUGUAUGAAGAAGGCCUUCGGGUUGUAAAGUACUUUCAGUCGGGAGGAAGGCGAUAAGGUUAAUAACCUUGUCGAUUGACGUUACCCGCAGAAGAAGCACCGGCUAACUCCGUGCCAGCAGCCGCGGUAAUACGGAGGGUGCAAGCGUUAAUCGGAAUUACUGGGCGUAAAGCGCACGCAGGCGGUUGAUUGAGUCAGAUGUGAAAUCCCCGGGCUUAACCCGGGAAUUGCAUCUGAUACUGGUCAGCUAGAGUCUUGUAGAGGGGGGUAGAAUUCCAUGUGUAGCGGUGAAAUGCGUAGAGAUGUGGAGGAAUACCGGUGGCGAAGGCGGCCCCCUGGACAAAGACUGACGCUCAGGUGCGAAAGCGUGGGGAGCAAACAGG